Molecule: ribosomal RNA, 254 nt
Filed under: uncultured bacterium
Lineage: Bacteria
Description: partial 16S ribosomal RNA
Rfam family: Bacterial small subunit ribosomal RNA
Source: RNAcentral
CACGUAGGGAGCAAGCGUUGUCCGGAUUUAUUGGGCGUAAAGAGCUCGUAGGCGGUUCAGUAAGUCAGGUGUGAAACCUCCUGGCUCAACCUGGAGACGCCACCUGAUACUGCUGUGACUUGAGUCCGGUAGGGGAGCGUGGAAUUCCUGGUGUAGCGGUGGAAUGCGCAGAUAUCAGGAGGAACACCGGUGGCGAAGGCGGGUCUCUGGGCAGUAACUGACGCUGAGGAGCGAAAGCGUGGGGAGCGAACAGG